AGAAGUGAUGAUGUUUGACCAUCUUUCGGGGCUGACAGUGAUGCUGACAACAUAACCCUUACUGAACUUCU
This is a non-coding RNA of Branchiostoma floridae (Florida lancelet), 71 nucleotides long. The record is from Rfam. NCBI's taxonomy places the organism in Eukaryota, Metazoa, Chordata, Leptocardii, Amphioxiformes, Branchiostomatidae.